Molecule: long non-coding RNA, 1028 nt
Filed under: Pan troglodytes (chimpanzee)
Lineage: Eukaryota; Metazoa; Chordata; Mammalia; Primates; Hominidae
Description: long non-coding RNA NONPTRT009119
Source: RNAcentral
GUGGGUAUCAGGAGAAUGAGGCAAGCCAAGCUGUGAGGAGUCUGUGGGUCAUGGCUUUGGCAGCGUGGAACCUGGGACAUAGAGUCCCCCUUGAUACGGCUGUUCGGCAGACCAACUUUGUUGUAAAUAUUUAGAUAAAAAUGGGCUUUAGAGCAGCCACAUCUGAAGACCCACAAGGCUGAAUGUUACACAGGGGGAGCACCACUAUUUAAUCUGAACAUCUGGAAUCCAUCAUGUGUAGUGAAGGACAAGAUGUAUCCUCAUUUUUAAGCCAACUCCAUGAUAAAACUGAUGGAUGGGACCAAUGUGUACAGGUAGCUCAGAGGUUGAUGCUAAGACAAAAACCAACAGAGGGCUUAGAGCUCAGCUGUUGGUCCAUGGAUGUUCGUAGAUGUGACUUAAACAGAUGCUUGAAUUGUGCUAUACAUUUAGGCUUGCUCUCCCGCUCUGUCUUCUGCCAUGAGAAGAAUAUAUCUCACUAGCCACUGACUGGGACAAGGAAGAUGAGAAAUAGUCAUGGCAGAUCUAUACCCAGCCUAUAGCUCUGAGCAAAACUCUGAGUCAAACUCGGCCUGCAUUUUGCGGACUCCCUGCUGGCCUGAAAAAAUUUGUAUUCAUUGUGGAAAGCCAAUUUUCAUUGUGGAAAGCCAAUGAAAAGAAAAUUCGUGUUCAUUGUGGAAAGCCACUAAGUUUGUCUGUUUUGUUAUGUAGCAUUGUUGAGAAAAUACUAGACUGAUACAACUGUUUAUGAAUUAACACCAUUUUGCUUUUAGGCACAUCUUCUUUAUGUAGGUACCAUAACAUAGGUUCCCUUGAUCUUUACCAUAAUCUCAUAAAUCAGACACGAUCGUAUCCCCAUUUUAUACAUUUGAAAUCUGAGGCCUCAAGAGGUGAAGAGAAUUCCUAGACAAGACUUGACACCAAUUUGUACAUCUCCAAAUCCCAUGUUACACGCUGCUUCAUCCAUUUAAAUGUAGCUUAGUUAGCCUGCCUCUCUGGUACCUAGUAAGUCCUCAAUAAACACUAAU